RNAcentral lists this transfer RNA (72 nucleotides) under Nanobdellota archaeon. RNAcentral describes it as "tRNA-Val". It matches the Rfam family "tRNA". From Rfam's summary of the family: Transfer RNA (tRNA) molecules are approximately 80 nucleotides in length. RNAcentral also lists the same sequence under 1 other name. The record is from RNAcentral. Lineage: Archaea; Nanobdellati; Nanobdellota.
GGGCCUGUGGUCUAGGGGCAUGACGUCGCCUUGACGUGGCGAAGACCGGCGGUUCGAUUCCGCCCGGGCCCA